RNAcentral lists this ribosomal RNA (497 nucleotides) under uncultured bacterium. RNAcentral's name for it is "partial 16S ribosomal RNA". It matches the Rfam family "Bacterial small subunit ribosomal RNA", at positions 28 to 507 of the family's 1533-position model. The record is from RNAcentral.
GAUGAACGCUGGCGGCGUGCCUAAUACAUGCAAGUCGAGCGAACGGACGAGAAGCUUGCUUCUCUGAUGUUAGCGGCGGACGGGUGAGUAACACGUGGAUAACCUACCUAUAAGACUGGGAUAACUUCGGGAAAUCGGGGCUAAUACCGGAUAAUAUUUUGAACCGCAUGGUUCAAAAGUGAAAGACGGUCUUGCUGUCACUUAUAGAUGGAUCCGCGCUGCAUUAGUUAGUUGGUAAGGUAACGGCUUACCAAGGCAACGAUGCAUAGCCGACCUGAGAGGGUGAUCGGCCACACUGGAACUGAGACACGGUCCAGACUCCUACGGGAGGCAGCAGUAGGGAAUCUUCCGCAAUGGGCGAAAGCCGGACGGAGCAACGCCGCGGGAGUGAUGAAGGUCUUCGGAUCGUAAAACUCUGUUAGUAGGGAAGAACAAAUGUGUAAGUAACUGUGCACAUCUUGACGGUACCUAAUCAGAAAGCCACGGCUAACUACGUG